GCGUGAGAAUCUACNUCNUGGUNGGGGACAACCACGGGAAACUGUGGNUAAUACNGGAUAUGCCGUAAGGUAAAAGAUUUAUNUGCCRGAAGAAGAGCUCGCGUCUGAUWAGCUAGUUGGUAGGGUAAAAGCCUACCAAGGCAUCGAUCAGUAGCUGGUYUGAGAGGAUGAUCAGCCACACUGGGAYUGAGACACGGCCCAGACUCYUACGGGAGGCAGCAGUGGGGAAUUUUCCGCAAUGGGCGAAASCCUGASGGAGCAAUACCGCGUGAGGGAGGANAGGCUCUUGGGUCGUAAACCUCUUUUGUCAGGGAAGAAGCUCNUGACGGUACCUGACGAAUCAGCAUCGGCUAACUCCGUGCCAGCAGCCGCGGUAAUACGGAGGAUGCAAGCGUUAUCCGGAAUUAUUGGGCGUAAAGCGUCCGCAGGUGGCAACUCAAGUCWGCUGUUAAAKACCGGGGCUUAACUCCGGAAAGGCAGUGGAAACUGANUCGCUAGAGUGCAGGAGGGGUAGAGGGAAUUCCCGGUGUAGCGGUGAAAUGCGUAGAUAUCGGGAAGAACAUCGGUGGCGAAAGCGCUCUACUGGACUGCAACUGACACUCA
Molecule: ribosomal RNA, 603 nt
Filed under: Phormidium sp. MOR334
Lineage: Bacteria; Bacillati; Cyanobacteriota; Cyanophyceae; Oscillatoriales; Oscillatoriaceae
Description: partial 16S ribosomal RNA
Rfam family: Bacterial small subunit ribosomal RNA
Source: RNAcentral